This 555-nucleotide ribosomal RNA is filed under the name Bacillus sp. R2(2012b). RNAcentral describes it as "bacterial SSU rRNA". It matches the Rfam family "Bacterial small subunit ribosomal RNA", at positions 69 to 607 of the family's 1533-position model. The record is from RNAcentral. Lineage: Bacteria; Bacillati; Bacillota; Bacilli; Caryophanales; Bacillaceae.
GGAUUAAGAGCUUGCUCUUAUGAAGUUAGCGGCGGACGGGUGAGUAACACGUGGGUAACCUGCCCAUAAGACUGGGAUAACUCCGGGAAACCGGGGCUAAUACCGGAUAACAUUUUGAACCGCAUGGUUCGAAAUUGAAAGGCGGCUUCGGCUGUCACUUAUGGAUGGACCCGCGUCGCAUUAGCUAGUUGGUGAGGUAACGGCUCACCAAGGCAACGAUGCGUAGCCGACCUGAGAGGGUGAUCGGCCACACUGGGACUGAGACACGGCCCAGACUCCUACGGGAGGCAGCAGUAGGGAAUCUUCCGCAAUGGACGAAAGUCUGACGGAGCAACGCCGCGUGAGUGAUGAAGGCUUUCGGGUCGUAAAACUCUGUUGUUAGGGAAGAACAAGUGCUAGUUGAAUAAGCUGGCACCUUGACGGUACCUAACCAGAAAGCCACGGCUAACUACGUGCCAGCAGCCGCGGUAAUACGUAGGUGGCAAGCGUUAUCCGGAAUUAUUGGGCGUAAAGCGCGCGCAGGUGGUUUCUUAAGUCUGAUGUGAAAGCCCACGG